UGGGCAGUUAAAGCUUGUCUGUUAAAACACGUUAUGUUAGUGAUUCCUUUACGUUGGCAGUUACCUGUAUGUAGGCCAGUACAACAACAACAAAAAUGUAUGAGAUGUAUGCAUUCACUACUGUAAGUCGCUCUGGAUAAGAGCGUCUGCUAAAAUGACUAGAAUGUAAAAUGUAGGUCUAUUGUAGCUCGGGGUUUUCUGUCUCUCCAACCCCUCUUCAUGGCGCCGACCCUCCGGGUUUGGAGAGGGUCCAUUUCGUCUCCUCAAAGGUCAAAGUUCAGACCCUUGUUUAGCCUAGGUUCUGUCAAAAUCAAAUCAAAAUACAAUAAAAUAAAAUGUUAUUGGUCGUGUACACAUGUUUAGCAGAUGUUAUUGCCGGUGUAAUAUCUAACAAUUACACAACAAUACACGAGUAGCCUGGUGGUUAGAGGAGGCAGGUAGCCUAGUGGUUAGAGGAAACAAGUAGUCUAGUGGUUAGAGGAGGCGGGUAGCCCGGUGGUUAGAGGAGGCGGGUAGCCUAGUGGUUAGAGGAGGAGGCAGGUAGCCUAGUGGUUAGAGGAGGCAGGUAGCCUAGUGGGUAGAGGAGGCAGGUAGCCUGGUGGUUAGAGGAGGCAGGUAGCCUAGUGGUUAGAGGAGGCAGGUAGCCUGGUGGUUAGAGGAGGCAGGUAGCCUAGUGGUUAGAGGAGGCAGGUAGCCUAGUGGUUAGAGGAGGCAGGUAGCCUAGUGGUUAGAGGAGGCAGGUAGCCUAGUGGUUAGAGGAGGCAGGUAGCCUAGUGGUUAGAGUGUUGGCCUAGUAACUGAAAGGUUGCUAGAUUGAAUCCCCGAGCUGACAAGGUAAAAAUCUGUCGUUCUGCCCCUGAACAAGGUAGGCCGUCAUUAUAAAUAAUAAUUAGUUCUUAACUGACUUGCCUGGUUAACUAAAAAAAAAUAGCUCUGGUUAAAAUGGGAUGCCUGCUAUUUGCACUGCAUUUCUCUGGUCAAAAGAAGGGCACUAUGGGGUGCCUGGCAAAUUCAUCAACACAACAACAACGGAUAAGAUCUUCUGGUUGCAUAUCACCCAGCUAGAGUUCUCCUGGCUAACGAGACUCCACAUGCAGAAAUAUCAGUGGAAUUUAUCGAACUUGAACGAACAUAUUCUCUCGUCAGGUAAAUAUGUUUCCUAGGCCUUUACGUUUGGUUGGAAUGGGUUUUUUAAAUGCCCAAGCCGGUUCACUUUCCUGUUAGUGACAUAUAGGCUAUACUGUAUUUAUUAGUUAUGCCUUUAUUUAUUUAUUUAUUAUUAUAUAUAUAUUUAUUUUAAAUAAACGAAGUCAUACUUAAAAGGGAGAGAUAUCGUGCGCUUUUUUUCUCAUUAUGUUGACAGUCACGCGGGCGUGUAAUAAAGGAACGCGGAGUUAACAUGCGCUGUUAAUUUUUCAUUGCUUUUUUUUUCGUUUAGGGGGCUCACCCACCCAAAAAACCGAGAGAGAGAGACGAGAGGGGUAGAGAGAGAGAGAGAGAGAGAGAACUUGUCAUAAGUACAAAAUAAAGGAAAUGGGAAAAAGGAAUGAAUGGAACUAAAACCAAAACAACAAUUCUGCCUUCGAUGAUGUUCACGUCAUAAACACAUUUUAAAGAAGCACCUCUCCUCUCCUCUCCUCCCCUCUCCUCUACUCUCCUUCUCCCUCCCUCUCUCCCCCUCUCCUCUCCUCUCCUCCCCUCUCCUCUCC
Molecule: long non-coding RNA, 1709 nt
Filed under: Salmo salar (Atlantic salmon)
Lineage: Eukaryota; Metazoa; Chordata; Actinopteri; Salmoniformes; Salmonidae
Description: lncRNA (ENSSSAG00000114213.1)
Rfam family: UnaL2 LINE 3' element (bases 110-164)
Source: RNAcentral